Molecule: ribosomal RNA, 611 nt
Filed under: uncultured archaeon
Lineage: Archaea
Description: bacterial SSU rRNA
Rfam family: Archaeal small subunit ribosomal RNA
Source: RNAcentral
ACGAAUCCAGACCCUACGGGGUGCAGCAGGCGCGAAAACUUGGCAAUGCGAGAAAUCGUGACCAGGGAACUCCAAGUGGCUGGGGUAAGACCCAGUCUUUUCUUGACUCUUCAACGGUCUUGGAAUAAGGGGUGGGUAAGGACGGUGCCAGCCGCCGCGGUAAUACCGGCGCCUCAAGUGGUAGUCGAUUUUAUUGGGCCUAAAACGUCCGUAGCCUGUUUGGUACAUUCGUGGGUAAAUCAACCAGCUCAACUGAUUGAAUUCUGCGAGCACGGCCAGACUUGGGACCGGGAGAGGUGUGGGGUACGCUCAGGGUAGGGGUAAAAUCCUGUCAUCCUGAGCGGACCACCUGUUGCGAAGGCGCCACACUAGAACGGAUCCGACGGUCAGGGACGAAGCCUAGGGGCACGAACCGGAUUAGAUACCCGGGUAGUCCUAGGUGUAAACGCUGUGGACUUGGUGUUGGGGACUCUCCGAGAUUCCUCAGUGCCGAAGCGAAGGUGAUAAGUCCACUGCCUGGGGAGUACGGUCGCAAGGCUGAAACUUAAAGGAAUUGGCGGGGGAGCACCGCAACCUGAGGAUUGUGCGGUUUAAUUGGAUUCAACGCCGGG